AAGUCGUAACAAGGUUUCCGUAGGUGAACCUGCGGAAGGAUCAUUAACAAGUAUCCAACGUUAAACCCCCCCGUGAACCUUCAGUGCGCUCGCACUUUCUUAGAAAAGGCAGUCACGAUCGCUAGAGGCCGACACGGCCGGCGACCGGGUCACUGGGCGCGAGCCCCCCUCGUCACCUUUGCAUGAAAACGGGCCUGCGCUUAAUUGUGCGGCCACCAAACUCGAACAACUGUUAACAAUGGAUAUCUUGGUUCUC
Molecule: unclassified non-coding RNA, 256 nt
Filed under: fungal sp.
Lineage: Eukaryota; Fungi
Description: partial internal transcribed spacer region
Rfam family: Eukaryotic small subunit ribosomal RNA (bases 1-46)
Source: RNAcentral